ACUUUCAAAGGACACCAGCCGCCCAUUAAUUUUAGGAAUUAACCCUACUUGGUGCAACUCCAAGUGAAAGUA
This 72-nucleotide transfer RNA is filed under the name Hemidactylus ulii. RNAcentral describes it as "tRNA-Leu". The record is from RNAcentral. Lineage: Eukaryota; Metazoa; Chordata; Lepidosauria; Squamata; Gekkonidae.